AGUACCUGUCGUUUAUUUUAAAAAAGUGUUCAUAAUUCAGAAAAAUUUGAAACAUCAUUGAAACUCACUAUUUGGUACAUUUCACCUAUGAAAUGUAUAAAACAUAUUCUAUGACAUUUAAUGAAGAUUAAAUUUCAAAAAUAUCAAUGUUAAACACAUUAUCAUUCUAAUUUGAAUUAAUAGCGAGAGAAAGGCAAUAAAAAAUAGUUAUAUAAAAUAAGCACAACAUAAAGUGAAGAAAAUAAAUCCUGAAAUUUGAAAAUGAAUGAAAUUCUUUGAUUUUUUUGGAGGUCUGAUCUUAAGAACCAUAUGUUAUCAAUGGUGUCAUCUUUGAUAGUGAACCUAGUUUGGGGGCAAAUUUUUCCAGCUGUUAGAAAAGCAUUUUCAUAUUUUAUACUAGUUGUAGGAAUAGUGAAGAGAUAAAUAUAAACUAAAUUCAAAUAUUUUCUCUGUAUCUUUUGUCUACAAAUAACCUUAUCUCUGUGAUAACAUAAUCUUUGAGAAAUUUUUAUUUUUAUUAAAGAUUUUAAUAUUUUUACGGACAGUGCGCGGUAGUUUUUGUUACUAAGGCCCAGCAGUCAGUUUGGAAGAUGCCUGGUUCUUAGUUUAUGCUAUGAAACAGCCUUUGUUCAAACAAACAAAACAAAUCAAUCAGACAGAUAAGGAGUUUCCACCACUGAACACUGAUUGUUUUUGCUAUCAACCUGACAGCAUUCGAAGUGCAGGUAUCUUGAGGAUAAGACUAAAUCUUUGUUCUUUAUAAUUCUCUUUUAGGGAAGCUCCCCUCCUUUAUAUAUUCAGGUUAAUGCUAAAAAGAAAAACAAAUACUUCUUUCAAGAAGUAGAGCUAGAGAGAAUUUGAUCUGGGAAAAUCUGUGUUAAGAGUUCCAGUCUUUUUCACUCACUAGCCUUGAGAAAUCAUAAAGUCUUCCUUUCAAUGCUGGGUUUAACUCUCUGGUUAUUUCCCAGGACAUUAAUAAUUUAGAUUUCAGGCUUUUAAAAUACUGAAAUAAUAGUAUCACACCAACAAAAAGAUUGGUUCUUUGGUGCUUAACAAUCAGUAGCAUGAUAUACUGGAGUUCUAGAAUGUUGCAAUUCAACACUGCAAUCACUAAUUUAAACCAUCUUUCUCAGAACAUUUUCCUCCAUUAAGCUACUGUAGGGUCUAAAUUCCAUUUGUAGAGUAAAGUCCACAUUGACUUAAGCAGCUGUUUACAGGAUAUCCUUAACUAUAUGAAUACACCCAAGGUGUCCUCUCUUUAGUCAUUAAUCACUUGCUGUAAAUUGUUUAACAGCCAAGUAGUCAAGAAAGGGACCUGGACCAGGUUGUUUUUCUGAGGCUGAGCAGUGGACAGAGAACUGCAUGCAAGGAGGAAGAUAAUUAGGAUUGUAGUGUAGGACCCAGAGAGGGAGGUGCAGCAGAUUGGCCCUGGAAAGCCUGGGGCUGCCUCAGGAAGACAAAAUGGGCUUGGAAGAAAUGCUGAUGGAGAAAGGAAAAGGCCAGAAAGUGGACAGACACCUCCUCUCCACCACCAUGUUUACAUGGGACACACUCAGUUGUUGCAGAAUCCUUGCAUUGAGUGUGACUAAGAAAAAAUGUUCUCUUAAAAAAGCAAUAGUCCAUACUCUUAACAGCUUAAUAGAGGGAGAAAAUUAUACCUAAUAUUCUUAUUGACCCUCUGGAGUUGGUCUUCAACAGGUGCCCUCCUGCCUGGUGUCAUUCAAGCCAACAGAACAAGACCCAGUUUGGCUCAGGAGCAAAGGAAAGCUUUACUCUUUGAUCAAGGAGUGCGAACGUGUGCUGUAGAGUCCCCUGCUCUUGCAGCAGGCCGUGGGCGGGCCUGCCCUGCGUGGAUCUCACCAACCCGGAGGGGGCCGAGUUCCCGCAGGCAGUGUCAGGAGCAGCGUCCCUGAACAUGGCCCGCUGCUGCCGUCUUGAAUUACCUGUGUGAGUGGCGCUUUUUCACAUGGCCUGGAGCUGAGGUGUCGGCAUUCCUCACGAGGAAAUUUGAUCUGAAGCACCAGGCAACUGGUGAGAUCGGACUUCGUCACUGGAGCUGCUGCGGUUCCUGCCGUGGUGGAAGUGAUGGAAGCCAUGUCAAAGCCUAGCCUUUUCUGCCCAGGAUUUCCAGUGGAAGCUGAGAUAACCAGUGUCAAAUGAUGAGUCCUCAAGGUUUUAUAAUCGUUGGAACGGCAUGAGCCAGUCAACCCCUGCUGGCCUGCUCUUAGUCAGGAAUCAGGGCAAGCAGUGCUUGGGUCGGGACAGGUGAGGCCAUGUGGGUCUGAGGAGGCUUGUGAGACAGGUGUGUUACAUAGAUGAAAACGGAUGGUGAAAAACUAAGCCUGUCCAGAAGGAAUAGGACCCAGACAAAUGUGUGAAUUAGUGUGUCAUUUGGGUGACAUUCCAUGAAGGACCAUAAGGUGAUUUGAGCAAGUUUGAAACUUUUUCCUAUUCUGUUGUCCUUAUUGUGGCUGAUACUAUGGUUUUACUAUUCAAUCAUCUUUCCAAACUCUUUCCUAAAUUGUAGAGGCUGGAGAGCUAAAAGUAAGACUUUUCAGACUCCAAUGCAUCUAGAGUUCUAGAUGUGUUUCAGGUUGUGCCAAAGAGAUGUACUCGUGACGAACUUAAAUCCAGAACAGAGGAAAGUGGGGAGAGAGGCACAAGAUGAAACUGUAGCCCUGUCUGGGUGCGUAGUCAGCAGCCAUGAUAAGACUUCGUAAGGCUUCCAGGCAAGCCCAGUUGCCUGGUGUGGUUUUGGAAGUUUCUCCUAGAUGCUCAACCUAAAGACUGUUUAUUUCUUAAUUAAUUUGUAAGCCUUUUAAUGCGCCAUUAAAAAAAAAACCCUUUUGCUUAAACCAGCUAGAGGGGAAUCUAGUCUGAAGAAAUGACCAUUGAUAUACUUACAAUAUUUCUUAAAGGUUUUCCAGAGAAAUCUUAAGGGAGAAAGAGAGAAAAGAUAGAUAUAGAGAGAGGCAGAGAGAGAGAGACAUUAGGGCCAGGGUGGGUAGAGGGGAGAUCUUCCUCUUCUUACAGAGCCAUUAGUUCCCGUCAUGAAGGCCCCACCCUCAUGACCUAAUCUAACCCUAAUUUCCUCCCAAAAGUCCCAUCUCCAAACAUCAUCACAUCGGUGGUUAGAACAUCACCAUAUGUAUUUGGGGGGGACACAAAUAUUCAGUCAUAGCACAGACAGAAAACCAGGGAGAUUAAUUAAUUCUGGCUUUUAGAUGUUAUGCAUUUCAGGGUCCAUAGUUGUUAAAUGUGAGUAUUGCUUUCAGCACAUAUUAAUGUAGAUACUACCCAUGAAAAAACGCAGAACCUAGAAUGUACCUAAACACAUGUGACUUCUCAGUCAUCAUCAAACAUUAAGAGAACCUUAACAAAAUGUGUGCCAUGUUAGGGAAUUUUGUUGCUCAAAGAUAAGGAAAGAUGCAGUGUUUGUACCAUUGUUAUGAAAGGAAGGCUUCCUGUCUCCCCUUCACACUCUUGGAGGGUAAAUGUUAGGUCACUGCCUCAGCCUGCAUGCUCUGCAUGACCUUUGAUGCCUUUCUAAUAGACCUUGAUCCAUUUUUGUGUCUUACUGUGAUCUCCUCUCCCCAACCUUGGUCCUGCCUAGCAGGUGACUAUAAGGUCAUUUUCAAGCAGCUGCACACAAUUGACUUGUCCCUAAUUUCAUACUUUAUCUGGAAGGUGUGCUAAAGGUAGUAGACCCAGAAGCAUUAAGUAAUUGGUUUACUUCUAGAGGGCUUCUGGCUAAAAUCUUAAAGCCAGACCUAUCAAAGUGCUCACAGAACAAAGGGGCUUUCUAAGUCCAUUAGAAGGAUUCUCUAUUCUCAGAAGGCAUUUGGGGUUAUAAUAAAAAUGUCUUUUUCCCAAUAAUAUUAAGAGGAAAAAUCACUUGUGACUAGUACUUGAUUGAGACUGAAGUAUGUGAAAGAGGCAAAUGUGAUGUUUGUAAUAAUUAAUGGUUCAAAAUGGACUUUAUUAACAUUCUGGGGAAUGUUUUUCUCACAAAAGCAUUCUCAUCAAAAGCAAGAAUGAUUAUUUGCAAAAAUCUCAACCAAAAGUAAACUUCAUAUUAAUCAUGCUGAAAUAAUUUAAAAGAUACGAAUUGUUUUCUAGAUCCUUGCUAUUCAAAAUAUGGCCCCUGGACCAGGAGCAUUAGCAUCAUCUGGGAAAUUGUCGUAAAUCUGGUCUCAGGCCCUACCCAGACCUACUGAAUUAGGCUCUACAUUUUAACAAUAUUUCCAUGUGGUUUGUAAGCACAUUAGAAUUUUCAAAGCCCCAUUCUUGAUAUUGUAAUAUUGUUCAUAAGCCCACUUGUUGAAAUGAAUCCAUUCAGCAUUUAAAUAUGUUAUGGCAAAUGUCUAUUAAGGAUCAGCAAAUAGUUAUUUGUGUCCCUAUCAAUGCUAUUGUUAUGUGGAUUAUUAAUUUAGUUGAUUUUUGUUGUUACAAGGAAUUUUGCUUUUAUCCAAUGGGAUUUCUUGAGCUUCUGAAAGUGAGAAAUAGUCCCUUUUUUUUUCUUAUCUGUUCAUGUAGCUAAUUGUAAUCAUCAUUUUUUUUUGUUGUUGUUGUUCCUUCAACCUCCAACGAUGUGUUAUCAUUUAAGGAUUCUCAAAAGUCUUCUGACAUACCCUUCAGGUUGUUUUGGCCAAUCCAAUGGCAUUUUCUCCAUUCUCCCUUGCUUACAGAACUAUAGUUUAGUUCAGUGUCAUGAUGUUUUCAGCCCAAGUCUAAGCAAAUCAUGAUGAUCUUAUGUCCCUUUAUCACAUACUGAAUUUCCCAUCCUCGUUUGUAACUAAGGGUGACUGAGAUCUGACCAACAAGGGAUAAGCUGGAGGCUUAUGAGAAAGUCUUUAUUCCCUAAUAAAAACAACAGAGAUGAAAAGGUA
Camelus dromedarius (Arabian camel) is the source of this 4889-nucleotide long non-coding RNA. RefSeq lists it as uncharacterized. NCBI's taxonomy places the organism in Eukaryota, Metazoa, Chordata, Mammalia, Artiodactyla, Camelidae. The transcript is spliced from 2 exons. The record is from RefSeq and is a predicted model, not a curated record.